This 497-nucleotide ribosomal RNA is filed under the name uncultured bacterium. Its description in RNAcentral is "partial 16S ribosomal RNA". It matches the Rfam family "Bacterial small subunit ribosomal RNA", at positions 28 to 507 of the family's 1533-position model. The record is from RNAcentral.
GAUGAACGCUGGCGGCGUGCCUAAUACAUGCAAGUCGAGCGAACGGACGAGAAGCUUGCUUCUCUGAUGUUAGCGGCGGACGGGUGAGUAACACGUGGAUAACCUACCUAUAAGACUGGGAUAACUUCGGGAAACCGUAGCUAAUACCGGAUAAUAUUUUGAACCGCAUGGUUCAACAGUGAAAGACGGUCUUGCUGUCACUUAUAGCUGGAUCCGCGCUGCUUGAGCUAGUUGGUAAGGUAACGGCUUACCAAGGCAACGAUGCAUAGCCGACCUGAGAGCGUGAUCGGCCACACUGGAACUGAGAAACGGUCCAGACUCCGACGGGAGGCAGCAGUAGGGAAUCUUCCGCAAUGGGCGAAAGCCUGACGGAGCAACGCCGCGUGAGUGAUGAAGGUCUUCGGAUCGUAAAACUCUGUUAUUAGGGAAGAACAUAUGUGUAAGUAACUGUGCACAUCUUGACGGUACCUAAUCAGAAAGCCACGGCUAACUACGUG